AGCUCUCGAAAACCUCCCGUAACUCACUUUUAAUCAUUUUAACACCAUCGGACUUUUCGAAGUGUACCAUCCUUGCACUUUGGUCAAUUUGACUAAAGUUCGAUAUUUAUUUUCCGAAUUUUCGGUAUAUUACACUAACAGUAUAAAUUUGUAACGAGUUCUUUUUCUCAUUUAAUCAAACAAAGAGUAAAACCUAAUUAUAUUGUUCUAUUAUGCCCCGAGAGUGAAAUGUUGGAACGAAUCGAUGUCAACGUUCACAUGAACCAAAACCGAAACAACAUUAAACUACUCAUUUUCGCCCUAACAGUAUAAAUUUGCAACGAGUACUUUUUUUCAUCCAAUCCAAAAAAGAGUAAAACCUAAUUAUAUUGUUCUAUUACACCCCGAGAGUGUAAUGUUGGAAGGAAUCGAGAUCAACGUUCACAAGAACCAAAAUCGGAACAACAUUAGACUACUCGCGCCCUAACAUUAUAACUUUGCAACGAGUACUUUUUCUCAUUCAAUCAAACAAAGAGUAAAUCCUAAUUACAUUGGUCUAUUAUGCCCCAAGAGUGUAAUGUUGGAAGGAAUCGAUGUCAACGUUCACAAAAACCAAAACCGGAACUGCAUUAGACAACUCACUUGCGCCCUAACAGUAUAAAUUUGCAACGAGUGCUUUUUCUCAUUCUAUCGAACAAAGAGUACAAGCUAAUUAUACUGUUCUAUUAUACCCUGAGAGUGUAAAUUUCGAACGAAUACAUGUCAACGUUAACAAGAACCAAAACCGAAACAACAUUAGACUACACAGUUGCGCCCUAACUGUAUAACUUUACAACGAGUACUUUUUCUCAUUCAAUCAAACAAAGAGUAAAACCUAAUUGUAUUGUUUUAUUAUGCCCCGAGAGUGUAAUAUUGGAACAAAUCGAUGUCAACGUUCACAAGAACCAAAACCGGAACAACAUUAAACUACUCGGUUGCGCCAUAAUAGUAUAAAUUUGCAACGAAUACUUUUUCUUAUUCUAUCGAACAAAGAGUAAAAGCUAAUUAUAUUGUUCUAUUAUGCCCCGAGAGUGUAAAUUUCGAACGAAUCGUUGUCAACGUUCACAAGAACCAAAACUUGAACAAUAUUAGACUACUCAGUUGCGCCCUAACAGCAUAAAUUUGCAACGAGUUUUUUUUCUCAUUCUAUCGAACAAAGAGUAAAAACUAAUUAUAUUGUUUUAUUAUGCCCUGAGAGUGUAAAUUUCAAACGAAUCGAUGUCAACGUUCACAAGAACCAAAACGGAAACAACAUUAGACUACUAAGUUGCGCCAUAACAGUAUAACUUUGCAACAAGUACUUUUUCUAAUUCAAUCGAACAAAGAGUAAAACCUAAUUACCUUGUUCUAUUAUGCCCCGAGACUGUAAAUUUCGAACGAAUCGAUGUCAACGUUCACAAGAACCAAAACCGGAACAACAUUAGACUACUCAGUUGCGCCCUAACAAUAUAACUUUGCAACGAGUACUUUUUCUCAUUCAAACAAACAAAAAGUAAAAACCUAAUUAUAUUGUUCUAUUAUGCCCCGAGAGUGUAAUAGUAGAACGAAACGAUGUCAAAGUUCACAAGAACCAAAAUCGGAACAACAUUAGACUACUCGGUUGCGUCCUAACAGUAUAACUUUGCAACAAGUACUUUUUCUCACUCUUUCGAACAAAGUGUAAAACCUAAUUAUAUUGUUCUAUUAUGCCCCGAGAAUGUAAAUUUCGAAUGAAUCGAUGUCAACGUUAACAAGAACCAAAACCGAAACAACAUUAGAAUACACAGUUGCGCCCUAACUGUAUAACUUUGCAACGAGUACUUUUUCUCAUUCAAUCAAACAAAGAGUAAAACCUAAUUGUAUUAUUCUAUUAUGCCCCGAGAGUGUAAUAUUGGAACGAAUCGAAGUCAACGUUCACAAGAACCAAAACCGGAACAACAUUAAACUACUCGGUUGCGCCCUAACAGUAUAAAUUUGCAACGAGUACUUUUUCUUAUUCUAUCGAACAAAGAGUAAAAGCUAAUUAUAUUGUUCUAUUAUGCCCCGAGAGUGUAAAUUUCGAACGAAUCGUUGUCAAUGUUCACAAGAACCAAAACCGGAACAACAUUAGACUACUCAGUUGCACCCUAACAGUAUAAAUUUGCAACGAGUUCUUUUUAUCAAUCUAUCGAACAAAGAGGAAAAACUAAUUAUAUUGUUCUAUUAUGCCCUGAGAGUGUAAAUUUCAAACGAAUCGAUGUCAACGUUCACAAGAACCAAAACCGAAACAACAUUAGACUACUAAGUUGCGCCUUAACAGUAUAACUUUGCAACGAGUACUUUUUCUCAUUCAAUCGAACAAAGAGUAAAACCUAAUUACCUUGUUCUAUUAUGCCCCGAGACUGUAAAUUUCGAACGAAUCGAUGUCAACGUUCACAUGAACCAAAAUCGGAACAACAUUAGACUACUUAGUCGCGCCCUGACAAUAUAACUUUGCAACGAGUACUUUUUCUCAUUCAAACAAACAAAGAGUAAAAACCUAAUUAUAUUGUUCUAUUUUACCCAGAGAGUGUAAUAGUGGAACGAAACGAUGUCUACGUUCACAAGAACCAAAAUCGGAACAACAUUAGACUACUCAGUAGCGGCCUAACAGUAUAAAUUUGCAACGAAUACUUUUUCUCAUUCUAUCGAAGAAAACGUAAAACCUAAUUAUAUUGUUCUAUUAUGCCCUGAGAGUGUAAUGUUGGAACGAAUCGUUGUCAACGUUCACAAGAAGCAAAAUCGGAACAACAUUAGACUACUUAGUUUCGCCCUAACAGUAUAAAUUUGCAACGAGUUCUUUUUCUCAUUUAAUCAAACAAAGAGUAAAACCUAAUUAUAUUGUUCUAUUAUGCCCUGAGAGUGUAAUGUUGGAACGAAUCGUUGUCAACGUUCACAAGAACCAAAACCGGAACAACAUUAAACUACUCAGUUUCGCCCUAACAAUAUAAAUUUGCAUCGAGUACUUUUUCUCAUUUAAUCAAAAAAAAGUAAAACCUAAUUAUAUUGUUCUAAUAUACCCCGAGAGUGUAAUGUUGGAAGGAAUCGAUGUCAACGUUCACAAGAAUCAAAACCGAAACAACAUUAGACUACUCACUUGCGCCCUAAUAUUAUAACUUUGCAACGAGUACUUUUUCUCAUUCAAUCAAACAAAGAGUAAAUCCUAAUUAUAUUGUUCUAUUAUGCCCCGAGAGUGUAAUGUUGGAAGGAAUCGAUGUCAACGUUCACUAGAACCAAAACCGGAACUGCAUUAGACAACUCACUUGCGCCGUAACAGUAUAAAUUUGCAACGAGUGCUUUUUCUCAUUCUAUCGAACAAAGAGUAAAAGCUAAUUAUAUUUUUCUAUUAUGAUGCCCCGAGAGUGUAAAUUUCGAACGAAUUGAUGUCAACGUUCACAAGAACCAUAACCGAAACAACAUUAGACUACGCAGUUGCGCCCUAACUGUAUAACUAUGCAACGAGUACUUUUUCUCAUUCAAUCAAACAAAGAAUAAAAGCUAAUUAUAUUGUUGUAUUAUGCCCCGAGUGCGUAAAUUUUCGACAAAUCGAUGUCAAUGUUCAUAAGAACCAAAACCGGAACAACAUUAGGCUACUCAGUUGCGCCCUAACAGUAUAAAUUGGCAACGAGGGCUUUUUCUCAUUCUAUCGAACGAAGAGUAAAAAAUGUGUCGGUUCUAUUAUGCCCCGAGAGGGUAAAUUAGAUGUCCACAUUCACAAGAACGAAAACCGGAACAACAUUAAGCUACUCAAUUGCGGCCAAACAGCAUAAAUUUGGAACGAGUAAUUUUUCUCAUUCAAUCGAACAAAGAGUAAUACCUAAUUAAAAUGUUCUAUUAUGCCCCGAGAGGGUAAAUUAGAUAUCCACGUUCACAAGAACGAAAACCGGAACAACAUUAGACUACUCAAUUGCGCCCUAACAGUAUAAAUUUGCAACGUGUACUUUUUCUCAUUCAUUCAAACAAAGAGUAAAACCUAAUUAAAAUGUUCUAUUAUGCCCUGAGAGGGUAAAUUAGAUGUCCACGUUCACAAAACGAGAACCGGAACAACAUUAGGCUACUCAAUUGCGCCCUAACAUUAUAAAUUUGCAACGAGUACUUUUUCUCAUUCAAGCGAAUAAAGAGCAAAACCUAAUUAAAAUAUUCUAUUAUGCCCCGGGGAGGUAAAUUAGAUGUCCACGUUCACAAGAACGAAAACCGGAACAACAUUAAGCUACUCAAUUGCGGCCAAACAGUAUAAAUUUGGAACGAGUACUUUUUCUCAUUCAACCGAAUAAAGAGUAAUACCUAAUUAAAAUGUUAUAUUAUGCCCCGAGAGGGUAAAUUAGAUAUCCACUGUCACGCCCCGAGACCGAUACCAAUUUGGUCCGGCCCGGGCGCGUCGAACAGACGCCGAACGGACAGGACCUACCCCGUCCGCCCAAGGCUAACCAACGGAUCAUGUAUAAGAAUUUACCCAGAAAUCAAUUCAUAAAUACACGA
Molecule: long non-coding RNA, 4494 nt
Filed under: Ananas comosus (pineapple)
Lineage: Eukaryota; Viridiplantae; Streptophyta; Magnoliopsida; Poales; Bromeliaceae
Description: long non-coding RNA (ACOM_LNC037886)
Source: RNAcentral